GCUGGCGGCGUGCUUAACACAUGCAAGUCGAACGAACCUUCGGGUUAGUGGCGGACGGGUGAGUAACGCGUGAGAAUCUGCCCUCAGGAGGGGGAUAACGGUUGGAAACGACCGCUAAUACCCCAUAUGCCGCGAGGUGAAAUGAAUUUCGCCUGAGGAUGAGCUCGCGUCUGAUUAGUUAGUUGGUGGGGUAAAGGCCUACCAAGACAUCGAUCAGUAGCUGGUCUGAGGGGAUGAUCAGCCACACUGGGACUGAGACACGGCCCAGACUCCUACGGGAGGCAGCAGUGGGGAAUUUUCCGCAAUGGGCGAAAGCCUGACGGAGCAACGCCGCGUGAGGGAUGAAGGCCUCUGGGCUGUAAACCUCUUUUAUCAAGGAAGAAGAUCUGACGGUACUUGAUGAAUAAGCCACGGCUAAUUCCGUGCCAGCAGCCGCGGUAAUACGGGAGUGGCAAGCGUUAUCCGGAAUUAUUGGGCGUAAAGCGUCCGCAGGCGGUCUGUCAAGUCUGCUGUUAAAGCGUGGAGCUUAACUCCAUUUCGGCAGUGGAAACUGACAGACUAGAGUGUGGUAGGGGCAGAGGGAAUUCCCGGUGUAGCGGUGAUAUGCGUAGAUAUCGGGAAGAACACCAGUGGCGAAGGCGCUCUGCUGGGCCAUAACUGACGCUCAUGGACGAAAGCCAGGGGAGCGAAAGGGAUUAGAUACCCCUGUAGUCCUGGCCGUAAACGAUGAACACUAGGUGUCGGGGGAAUCGACCCCCU
This 759-nucleotide ribosomal RNA is filed under the name uncultured Prochlorococcus sp. RNAcentral's name for it is "bacterial SSU rRNA". It matches the Rfam family "Bacterial small subunit ribosomal RNA", at positions 35 to 841 of the family's 1533-position model. Lineage: Bacteria; Bacillati; Cyanobacteriota; Cyanophyceae; Synechococcales; Prochlorococcaceae. The record is from RNAcentral.